This is a non-coding RNA of Pelobates cultripes (western spadefoot toad), 204 nucleotides long. The record is from the annotation of a GenBank genome assembly. Lineage: Eukaryota; Metazoa; Chordata; Amphibia; Anura; Pelobatidae.
GUAUGAUCCUCCACCACUGAAUGGCAGACCUCUCCAGCAGUAAAGGGGUUAAUGUUAUCCUCGGUAACAUGUGGGUUAAUCCCACGUCAGAGUCUCAGGUCUUAGUGGGAAAGAUUGGGGAAUUUGGCUGGGAGUCUGGGGUUUAUUUCUUAAACGCCCAAAUCAAAUGAGAAUGCCCUCAACUAGACCAAAUCAGAAGAGAAG